RNAcentral lists this ribosomal RNA (254 nucleotides) under uncultured prokaryote. RNAcentral describes it as "partial 16S ribosomal RNA". It matches the Rfam family "Bacterial small subunit ribosomal RNA", at positions 524 to 777 of the family's 1533-position model. The record is from RNAcentral.
UACGGAGGAUCCGAGCGUUAUCCGGAUUUAUUGGGCGUAAAGCGAGCGCAGGCGGUUCCUUAAGUCUGAUGUGAAAGCCCACGGCUCAACCGUGGAAGGUCAUUGGAAACUGGGGAACUUGAGUGCAGAAGAGGAGAGUGGAAUUCCAUGUGUAGCGGUGAAAUGCGUAGAUAUAUGGAGGAACACCAGUGGCGAAGGCGACUCUCUGGUCUGUAACUGACGCUGAGGCUCGAAAGCAUGGGGAGCAAACAGGA